ACGUCAACAGAGGGAAGCAAAACAGCGAUGUGGAGCAAACCCCUAAAAACGUUCUCAGUUCAGAUUGCAGGCUGCAACUCGCCUGCACGAAGUCGGAAUUGCUAGUAAUCGUAGGUCAGCAUACUACGGUGAAUACGUUCCCGGGCCUUGUACACACCGCCCGUCAAACCAUGAGAGUUGGCAACACCCGAAGUCGGUAGUCUAACCGCAAGGAGGACGCCGCCGAAGGUGGGGUUGAUGAUUAGGGUUAAGUCGUAACAAGGUAUC
RNAcentral lists this ribosomal RNA (267 nucleotides) under uncultured bacterium. RNAcentral describes it as "partial 16S ribosomal RNA". It matches the Rfam family "Bacterial small subunit ribosomal RNA", at positions 1234 to 1500 of the family's 1533-position model. The record is from RNAcentral.